AGAGUUUGAUCAUGGCUCAGAACGAACGCUGGCGGCGUGCUUAACACAUGCAAGUCGCGUGCGCAGUUCCUGUAGCAAUACAGGGAUGGGCGCACGGCGCACGGGUGCGUAACACGUGGGCAAUCUGCCCUCCGAUGGGGAAUAACCCCGCGAAAGCGGGGCUAAUUCCGCAUAACAUUCCUUGGACUCACGUUCGAGGAUUCAAAGCAGCAAUGCGUCGGAGGAGGAGCCCGCGCCCGAUUAGCUAGUUGGUGAGGUAACGGCUCACCAAGGCAAUGAUCGGUAGCUGGUCUGAGAGGAUGGCCAGCCACACUGGAACUGAGACACGGUCCAGACUCCUACGGGAGGCAGCAGUGGGGAAUCUUGCACAAUGGGCGAAAGCCUGAUGCAGCGACGCCGCGUGGGGGAUGAAGCUUUUCGGAGUGUAAACCCCUUUCGCCUGGGACGAAUGCCCGCAAGGGAGUGACGGUACCAGGAUAAGAAGCCCCGGCUAACUACGUGCCAGCAGCCGCGGUAAGACGUAGGGGGCCAGCGUUGUUCGGAAUUACUGGGUGUAAAGGGUUCGUAGGCGGUGCGGCAAGUUGGGAGUGAAAUCUCUGGGCUCAACCCAGAGGCUGCUUCCAAAACUGCUGUGCUUGAGUGUGAGAGAGGCUCGUGGAAUUGCAGGUGUAGCGGUGAAAUGCGUAGAUAUCUGCAGGAACACCCGUGGCGAAAGCGGCGAGCUGGAUCACUACUGACGCUGAGGAACGAAAGCUAGGGGAGCAAACAGGAUUAGAUACCCUGGUAGUCCUAGCCCUAAACGAUCAGGACUUGGGGUGCCGCCCGUUCGGGCGUCGUCCCGGAGCUAACGCGUUAAGUCCUGCACCUGGGGAGUACGGUCGCAAGACUGAAACUCAAAGGAAUUGACGGGGGGCCCGCACAAGCGGUGGAACAUGUGGUUCAAUUCGACGCUACGCGAGGAACCUUACCU
This 970-nucleotide ribosomal RNA is filed under the name uncultured bacterium. RNAcentral describes it as "bacterial SSU rRNA". It matches the Rfam family "Bacterial small subunit ribosomal RNA", at positions 8 to 976 of the family's 1533-position model. The record is from RNAcentral.